This is an RNA transcript of Bubalus bubalis (water buffalo), 2944 nucleotides long. It is a transcript of the gene named interferon regulatory factor 1, with no coding region annotated. NCBI's taxonomy places the organism in Eukaryota, Metazoa, Chordata, Mammalia, Artiodactyla, Bovidae. The transcript has 11 exons. The record is from RefSeq and is a predicted model, not a curated record.
AGAUUCUCCGCGGCGCCGCGGUUCAGGCAGAGCGCGCCACUCCUUCGUCGAGGCAGGACGUGCGCCCAAGUCGGGCUAGCAGAGGCCAGCGAGAGCCGUGCCAAGUCAAGGCCAGCCGUGACCAGCGGCUCCGCGACCUGGGCAUCCUCUGCCUUCUCCCCGUUCCCACUUGAAUCGCGCUCCUAGCGCCCGCAAAAGCAGUCCUCGCCGGGAUCCUCGGUUGCUGCCGUCGGGUAGCGCUUGCUGUCGAGCCAACAUGCCCAUCACUCGGAUGCGCAUGAGACCUUGGCUAGAGAUGCAGAUUAAUUCCAACCAAAUCCCAGGGCUGAUCUGGAUUAAUAAAGAGGAGAUGAUCUUCCAGAUCCCAUGGAAGCACGCUGCGAAGCAUGGCUGGGACAUCAACAAGGACGCCUGUCUGUUUCGGAGCUGGGCCAUUCACACAGGCCGAUACAAAGCAGGGGAAAAGGAGCCGGAUCCCAAGACCUGGAAGGCCAACUUUCGCUGCGCCAUGAACUCGCUGCCAGAUAUUGAGGAGGUGAAGGACCAGAGCAGGAACAAGGGCAGUUCAGCUGUGCGGGUGUACCGGAUGCUCCCACCCCUCACCAAGAGCCAGAGGAAAGAGAGAAAGUCCAAGUCCAGCCGAGACGCUAGGAGCAAGGCCAAGAAGAAGCCAUAUGGGGAAUACAGCCCCGAUACCUUCUCUGAUGGACUCAGUAGCUCCACCCUUCCUGAUGACCACAGCAACUACACAGUUCGCAGCUACAUGGGGCAGGACCUGGACAUCGAACGGACUCUCACUCCAGCGCUGUCACCGUGUGGCGUCAGUAGCACUCUCCCUAACUGGUCCAUUCCGGUGGAAAUUGUGCCAGACAGCACCAGCGACCUGUACAACUUUCAGGUGUCGCCCAUGCCCUCCACCUCUGAAGCUGCAACAGAUGAGGACGAGGAAGGGAAAUUAACUGAGGACAUCAUGAAGCUCUUGGAGCAAACAGGGUGGCAGCAGACAAGCGUGGAUGGGAAGGGGUACCUGCUUAAUGAACCCGGGGCCCAGCCCACCUCUGUCUAUGGAGAGUUCAGUUGCAAGGAGGAGCCAGAAGUUGACAGCCCUGGGGGUUAUAUUGGCCUGAUAUCUUCAGAUAUGAAGAACAUGGAUCCCAGCUGGUUGGACAGCCUGCUCACCCCAGUCAGGCUGCCCUCCAUCCAGGCCAUUCCUUGCGCACCAUAGAUGGGCCCCCAGACCCCCUUUGACUCCUUUAGGCGACAGGGCCUGGCAUCAUGGUGGCUGUGGUGCAAAGAAGCAGGAAUCCUGCGGCCCCUUGAUAUGAUGGAGUGUGACCCCACUGCUGACCAAGGAUGGGUCUUUCCGCCUCGGGACAGUGGCCUCUUGCAGUCCGGCAGGGCAGGGUCUGGACUCAUCUUGUCGGGUGAAGCUGGCCCUGCCUCCGGGGAAGAUGGGGUUCUGAGACUGGUGUGUCAGGUGGCAGUCUCAGACAGGACUCAGCCUCCAGCUUUCCCCUUGGAGCCCCACUGCCUGGAGAGGGUUUUGCUAUUCCUGAGCUGGCCCGAGAGAACGGACCAGUGACCUCAGAAAGCAUGGCACCACCUCCAGGGCUGGCUCUGCACUAAGAGACAAUUGCACUAAGUGAAUCCUGUUCCCAAAGUAACCGCCUCCCUUCCUAGCUGAGCCCUGGGGACUGUUCCAACGCCAGUGAAAUAUGAAGGAAGAAUGGGGUCCCUGUGGGACAGUGCCCCCUCUGCCUCAGAGGAGCUCUGCCCUGCUCCCUGCCUAGGCUGAGGGGCUUGUGAAAAAACCUGGCACUUUUUCUUGUGGACCUUGCCACAUUUCUGAUCAGAGGUGUACACUAACGUUUCCCCAAGCUCUUGGCCUUUGCAUUUAUUUAUACUGUGCCUUGCCCUGCACCCACGUGCCCCCUCAGGCAGGCCCCGGCAGCCCCCAGCAGGCCCAGGGAGGCAGGCGUGAGCACCUUGGUGUGAUUUAAAAUUGGAAGUAUCAUCUGACCACUAAGUCAUGUGUGACCACACAUGAAUAUAUACCUUCUGAUGGAUUCAUUGUUGGCAUCCUGCCUGAGCUUAACUUUGGGAUGAGUGGUAACACACCUUUUGUGAAAUCCUUUCAGCUGUGGUCAUGGAGAAGAGGGCAGGAGAAAGGACAGUUGUGCCACAGGGAUAUGUUCAUGUAAAUACAGUCAUUGCCCUUGGCUAUAUAGGUAGAGCUAUGAGUUGACUUGGGCCCCGGGCCCCAAGGAGUGUUAGGUUUUGAGUUCUUCUGACGAAUGUGCCAUAAACUCCAAUGUUUUGCUAUAAACUCAAAUGCAAGUGUACUCAGGUGCUACUUCACAAAGGUAUCAGUUGGCACAGCAUGGUCACCAUCAGAACAGACCCCAGCCCCAUAAAGAUCCCUGAGGCCUUCCAUGCUGAGCAUAACUUGCUGUCCGUUUUCUGCAGUGAUGGGAAUGUUCUCUGUCUGCGCUGUCCACUACAAUAGGUAGUGGUGUAGUCACGUGUGCUAAAUCAAACACUUGAAAUGUGACCAGUACAAUGGAGGAACUGGAUUUAAAAAAAAUUUUUUUGGCUAUGCUGCUCACAUGCAAGAUCUUGGUUCCUGGACCCAGGAUAGAACGGAUGCCCCCUGCAGUGGAAGUCUGGAGUCCUAAUCACUGGACACCAGGGAUUUCCCUGGGUUUUUAAAGUUUCAUUUAAUUAGUUAAAAUUCAAAAAGCCACACGUGGCCAGUGGCUACCAUAUUGAAUAGUAAAGGUAGAUACUGGAUUGGGAGCAGACUUGAGGGGGAGGGGCUGGGGUGGCUGGAGGACACUGGGGACUGGGGCUUGGGACUAUUCACUUGACUGUUCAAAAGUAUUUUACUGUUUUGACAGCUAAUAAAAACUGGUGCUGAAAAUCAGCCCUGCAGUGUACUAUGAAA